AGACGGGGUUUCACCAUGUUGGCCAGGCUAGUCUCAAACUCCUGACCUCAGGUCAUCCACCUGCCUCGGCCUCCCAAAGUGCUGGGAUUAUAGGCGUGAGCCACCAUGCCUAGCAAGCCUUUAGCUUUUCAGGAAGCCCAAAUAAGAUGACAGCUUUUAUCAUUAAGAAAGUCUGUGAGCCAUAGGACAAAGAGCUGGUGGGCUCCAGCUUGUUCUACAGACAUCCCAGAGCCCGGAGGCUUCAGGAAGCAGCAGCAACUUCAUGGCCGCCCUCUAAACAGAGAUCAAGAUUUCUCAAAAGGUUUGGGACAAAUAGUCAAGAUCUCAAAUUAAGCCUGCUCUUCAUCCUGGAUACCCCAUCUGGUGGAUAAUACCGCCAGCACCCCCACCAUCCUCCCAGCCAGAGCCUGGACACCCCCUGAUGCC
Long non-coding RNA from Pan troglodytes (chimpanzee), 426 nucleotides. RefSeq lists it as uncharacterized. The transcript is spliced from 3 exons. Lineage: Eukaryota; Metazoa; Chordata; Mammalia; Primates; Hominidae. The record is from RefSeq and is a predicted model, not a curated record.